RNAcentral lists this ribosomal RNA (467 nucleotides) under uncultured bacterium. RNAcentral's name for it is "partial 16S ribosomal RNA". It matches the Rfam family "Bacterial small subunit ribosomal RNA", at positions 29 to 507 of the family's 1533-position model. The record is from RNAcentral.
ACGCACGCUGGCGGCGUGCUUAACACAUGCAAGUCGCACGGAAAGGCCCUGCUUUUGUGGGGUACUCGAGUGGCGAACGGGUGAGUAACACGUGAGUAACCUGCCCUUGACUUUGGGAUAACUUCAGGAAACUGGGGCUAAUACCGGAUAGGAGCUCCUGCUGCAUGGUGGGGGUUGGAAAGUUUCGGCGGUUGGGGAUGGACUCGCGGCUUAUCAGCUUGUUGGUGGGGUAGUGGCUUACCAAGGCUUUGACGGGUAGCCGGCCUGAGAGGGUGACCGGCCACAUUGGGACUGAGAUACGGCCCAGACUCCUACGGGAGGCAGCAGUGGGGAAUAUUGCACAAUGGGCGGAAGCCUGAUGCAGCAACGCCGCGUGCGGGAUGACGGCCUUCGGGUUGUAAACCGCUUUCGCCUGUGACGAAGCGUGAGUGACGGUAAUGGGUAAAGAAGCACCGGCUAACUACGUG